GGGUAAUGCCGCGCCCGCUAAAGAUAGUUCGGAGAGGAAAGUCCGGACACCACAGGGCAGGAUUCCCCGCGAAAGAGGGGGCGCGACGCUUCAAGGCGUCGUGACGGAUAGUGUCACAGAGAAUAUACCGCCUGAGGCGAUUCACCGCAAGGUGAGGCGCUGCAGGUAAGGGUGAAAAGGUGGGGUAAGAGCCCACCGCGCCGAAAGUAAUGACGGCGGCACGAAAAACCCAAUCCGGUGCAAGACUAAAUAGGGGACUCGGUGGCCCGUCGGAUAGUCCCGGGUUAGUCGCACCCCAGCGUGUUCGGCGCAAGUCGAGCAACGGUGGGGCUGGCCACUUUCGGGUGGCCUGAGAGAAAUGAAGAUCACGUCGCAUUAAUACCGCGGCGGACAGAAUUCGGCUUAUCGGCCCCAAAA
RNAcentral lists this RNase P RNA (417 nucleotides) under Opitutia bacterium Tous-C10FEB. RNAcentral's name for it is "Opitutae bacterium Tous-C10FEB RNase P RNA component class A". It matches the Rfam family "Bacterial RNase P class A". Rfam says of the family: Ribonuclease P (RNase P) is a ubiquitous endoribonuclease, found in archaea, bacteria and eukarya as well as chloroplasts and mitochondria. Its best characterised activity is the generation of mature 5'-ends of tRNAs by cleaving the 5'-leader elements of precursor-tRNAs. The record is from RNAcentral. Lineage: Bacteria; Pseudomonadati; Verrucomicrobiota; Opitutia.